UACGUAGGGUGCAAGCGUUAAUCGGAAUUACUGGGCGUAAAGCGUGCGCAGGCGGUUGUGCAAGACAGAUGUGAAAUCCCUGGGCUUAACCUGGGAACUGCAUUUGUGACUGCACGGCUAGAGUGUGUCAGAGGGGGGUAGAAUUCCACGUGUAGCAGUGAAAUGCGUAGAUAUGUGGAGGAAUACCGAUGGCGAAGGCAGCCCCCUGGGAUGGCACUGACGCUCAUGCACGAAAGCGUGGGGAGCAAACAGG
Molecule: ribosomal RNA, 253 nt
Filed under: uncultured bacterium
Lineage: Bacteria
Description: partial 16S ribosomal RNA
Rfam family: Bacterial small subunit ribosomal RNA
Source: RNAcentral